GACGAACGCUGGCGGCGUGCUUAACACAUGCAAGUCGAACGGAAAGGCCCCUUUUGGGUGGUACACUCGAGGCGCACAGGGGAGUAACACGCGAGUAACCUCCGCUCGACACUUCGAUAACUGCCUGAAACUGUGGGUAUUAUCGCAGAGGAGCCCCUGCUGCGUGGUGGGGGUUGGAAAGUUUCGGCGGUGGGGGAUGGACUCGCGGCCUAUCAGCUUGUUGGUGGGGUAGUGGCUUACCAAGGCUUUGACGGGUAGCCGGCCUGAGAGGGUGACCGGCCACAUUGGGACUGAGAUACGGCCCAGACUCCUACGGGAGGCAGCAGUGGGGAAUAUUGCACAAUGGGUGGAAGCCUGAUGCAGCAACGCCGUGUGCGGGAUGACGGCCUUCGGGUUGUAAACCGCUUUCGCUCAUGACGAAGCUUUGUGUGACGGUAGUGGGUAAAGAAGCACCGGCUAACUACGUG
Molecule: ribosomal RNA, 467 nt
Filed under: uncultured bacterium
Lineage: Bacteria
Description: partial 16S ribosomal RNA
Rfam family: Bacterial small subunit ribosomal RNA
Source: RNAcentral